This 199-nucleotide ribosomal RNA is filed under the name uncultured bacterium. RNAcentral describes it as "partial 16S ribosomal RNA". It matches the Rfam family "Bacterial small subunit ribosomal RNA", at positions 1302 to 1500 of the family's 1533-position model. The record is from RNAcentral.
GGUCUGCAACUCGACCACACGAAGCUGGAAUCGCUAGUAAUCGCGAAUCAGCAUGUCGCGGUGAAUACGUUCCCGGGUCUUGUACACACCGCCCGUCACACCAUGGGAGUCAGCAACGCCCGAAGUCAGUGACCUAACCGAGAGGAAGGAGCUGCCGAAGGCGGGGCAGGUAACUGGGGUGAAGUCGUAACAAGGUACC